Long non-coding RNA from Lepus europaeus (European hare), 543 nucleotides. RefSeq lists it as uncharacterized. NCBI's taxonomy places the organism in Eukaryota, Metazoa, Chordata, Mammalia, Lagomorpha, Leporidae. The record is from RefSeq and is a predicted model, not a curated record. The transcript is spliced from 3 exons.
CGAGGGGCCCAGCGGUGUGGGAGGCAGCAGUGGCACAAGGGCUGGCCCAGCAGGGACCAGAGGACAUCGGGAGGGGCUUCAGGCCAGCCACAUAAUCAGCGCCGUGAGACCCCGUGUCCGUCCUGCUCAUCACCUGUGGUCAGGCACAACAAAGUCAUCCCAGGCUUUCAAACAGGGAAUUGGGCACACACAGGGCUGGAGAAAGCACCAGGCAGCUGCCAGGGGCCUGAGGGCUGAAGGACGGGAAAGGGGAGGUGUCGCCAGCUGCGAAGCUGAGGCCGCCCAGCAGGAAUGAGGACCACAGCGGAGGCUGCCCGGUCCCCGGAGCGAGGGGCUUGGCCCAUGGCGCGCUGAAAGCUGAGAAGUAGAGGAAGAAACCAUCUGGGCUUCGCCUUCUCAGCCUCUUGCUACUGCCCCAGAUCUCUUUCUCUGCAGGCCUCCUGAAUAAUGGUGGUGUGUUUUCUCUCUAAUGGCAUGGAGAAAGGCUGUCUUCUGCAGGCUUCAUUGCUCAGGUUUGAGCUAAUGAUAGCAGUUUGUUUGAAG